Molecule: ribosomal RNA, 497 nt
Filed under: uncultured bacterium
Lineage: Bacteria
Description: partial 16S ribosomal RNA
Rfam family: Bacterial small subunit ribosomal RNA
Source: RNAcentral
GAUGAACGCUGGCGGCGUGCCUAAUACAUGCAAGUCGAGCGAACAGAUGAGGAGCUUGCUCCUCUGACGUUAGCGGCGGACGGGUGAGUAACACGUGGAUAACCUACCUAUAAGACUGGGAUAACUUCGGGAAACCGGAGCUAAUACCGGAUAAUAUAUUGAACCGCUUGGUUCAAUAGUGAAAGGCGGUUUUGCUGUCACAUAUAGAUGGAUCCGCGCCGCAUUAGCUAGUUGGUAAGGUAACGGCUUACCAAGGCAACGAUGCGUAGCCGACCUGAGAGGGUGAUCGGCCACACUGGAACUGAGACACGGUCCAGACUCCUACGGGAGGCAGCAGUAGGGAAUCUUCCGCAAAGGGCGAAAGCCUGACGGAGCAACGCCGCGUGAGUGAUGAAGGUCUUCGGAUCGUAAAGCUCUGUUAUUAGGGAAGAACAAAUGUGUAAGUAACUAUGCACGUCUUGACGGUACCUAAUCAGAAAGCCACGGCUAACUACGUG